CAAGGUUAAAUCUCAAAUGAAUUGCCGGGGGCCCGCACAAGCGGUGGAGCAUGUGGUUUAAUUCGAUGCAACGCGAAGAACCUUCCCUACUCUUGACAUCCAGAGAACUUACCAGAGAUGCUUUGGUGCCUUCGGGAACUUUGAGACAGGUGUUGCAUGGCUGUCGUCAGCUCGUGUUGUGAAAUGUUGGGUUAAGUCCCGCAACGAGCGCAACCCUUAUCCUUUGUUGCCAGCGGUUAGGCCGGGAACUCAAAGGAGACUCCCAGUGAUAAACUGGAGGAAGGUGGGGAUGACGUCAAGUCAUCAUGGCCCUUAGGAGUAGGGCUACACACGUGCUACAAUGGCGCAUACAAAGAGAAUCGACCUCGCGAGAGCAAGCGGACCUCAUAAAGUGCGUUGUAGUCCGGAUUGGAGUCUGCAACUCGACUCCAUGAAGUCGGAAUCGCUAGUAAUCGUGGAUCAGAAUGCCACGGUGAAUACGUUCCCGGCCCUUGUACACACCGCCCGUCACACCAUGGGAGUGGGUUGCAAAAGAAGUAGGUAGCUUAACCUUCGGGAGGCCGCUUCCCACUUUGAGAUUCAGGCCUGCGGGAAGU
RNAcentral lists this ribosomal RNA (596 nucleotides) under Enterobacter hormaechei subsp. xiangfangensis. RNAcentral describes it as "bacterial SSU rRNA". It matches the Rfam family "Bacterial small subunit ribosomal RNA", at positions 889 to 1486 of the family's 1533-position model. Lineage: Bacteria; Pseudomonadati; Pseudomonadota; Gammaproteobacteria; Enterobacterales; Enterobacteriaceae. The record is from RNAcentral.